RNAcentral lists this ribosomal RNA (397 nucleotides) under uncultured bacterium. Its description in RNAcentral is "partial 16S ribosomal RNA". It matches the Rfam family "Bacterial small subunit ribosomal RNA", at positions 523 to 918 of the family's 1533-position model. The record is from RNAcentral.
AUACGUAGGGGGCGAGCGUUGUCCGGAAUGAUUGGGCGUAAAGGGCGCGUAGGCGGCUUUGCAAGUCAGUAGUGGAAGUCCAUUUUUCAAGGAUGGAAGUGCUACAGAAACUGCGGAGCUUGAGUGCAGGAGAGGUUAUCGGAAUUCCCGGUGUAGCGGUGAAAUGCGUAGAGAUCGGGAGGAACACCAGUGGCGAAGGCGGGAAACUGGACUGCAACUGACGCUGAGGCGCGAAAGUGUGGGGAGCAAACAGGAUUAGAUACCCUGGUAGUCCACACUGUAAACGAUGAAUGCUAGGUGUAGGAGGUAUCGACCCCUUCUGUGCCGCAGUAAACACAGUAAGCAUUCCGCCUGGGGAGUACGGUCGCAAGAUUAAAACUCAAAGGAAUUGACGGGG